UUGUCCAGUCAUGUGAUCCUCGUCUCAGUCUAUGACAUUGGAAUCACUGGCAGGACAUACAGAAAUAUCCGUCCAGUAUAGGGGGCAUUUCCCAAGAAGUAGGACUUGAUCCUAAAGGCAGGACGGAACAUC
This is a non-coding RNA of Danio rerio (zebrafish), 132 nucleotides long. The record is from Ensembl. Lineage: Eukaryota; Metazoa; Chordata; Actinopteri; Cypriniformes; Danionidae.